GAUGAACGCUGGCGGCGUGCCUAAUACAUGCAAGUCGAGCGAACAGAUGAGGAGCUUGCUCCUCUGACGUUAGCGGCGGACGGGUGAGUAACACGUGGAUAACCUACCUAUAAGACUGGGAUAACUUCGGGAAACCGGAGCUAAUACCGGAUAAUAUAUUGAACCGCAUGGUUCAAUAGUGAAAGACGGUUUUGCUGUCACUUAUAGAUGGAUCCGCGCCGCAUUAGCUAGUUGGUAAGGUAACGGCUUACCAAGGCAACGAUGCGUAGCCGACCUGAGAGGGGGGAAGGCCACAGUGAGACUGGGCCAGGGAGCAGACGCAGACGAGAGGAAGAGGUAGGGAUGGGGCCGCAAGUGGCGAAAGCCUGACGUAGAAAAUAAGCGGGAAUGACAAAGGAAUUCGAAUCGUAAAACUUUGUAAGUAGGGAAGAACAAACGCCCAAGUACCGGUGCAAACCGGGACGGGACCUAAUGAGAAAGCGAGGCCUAAAGACGUU
RNAcentral lists this ribosomal RNA (497 nucleotides) under uncultured bacterium. RNAcentral describes it as "partial 16S ribosomal RNA". It matches the Rfam family "Bacterial small subunit ribosomal RNA", at positions 28 to 507 of the family's 1533-position model. The record is from RNAcentral.